RNAcentral lists this long non-coding RNA (282 nucleotides) under Dasypus novemcinctus (nine-banded armadillo). Its description in RNAcentral is "lncRNA (ENSDNOG00000052022.1)". Lineage: Eukaryota; Metazoa; Chordata; Mammalia; Cingulata; Dasypodidae. The record is from RNAcentral.
UGCUCAAAAACCGUCAGUGGCUCCCAGUGGCCUCCAGCGUGAAUGCGUCGCUUGCCUUAGAAGCCCUUGACGUCCGAGCUCUGGACCCCUGUCCCGGCCCGCCCUCCUGGGAGCGCCAGGAGCGGCGCAGUCCACGUGGGCCGCACACGCCGUCCUGGGCGGUUAUUUAAGUCCUCGGCGAGAGCUGUGAGCCUUGAUCCACACUUCUGCCCACCUCCCAGGUCGGGCUCUGCCCCAGGCGUCCCCUCCAGGCUGCUGGGCACCCCCCACCCCCCGCCGGCC